Long non-coding RNA from Oncorhynchus masou masou (cherry salmon), 319 nucleotides. RefSeq lists it as uncharacterized. The record is from RefSeq and is a predicted model, not a curated record. NCBI's taxonomy places the organism in Eukaryota, Metazoa, Chordata, Actinopteri, Salmoniformes, Salmonidae. The transcript is spliced from 5 exons.
AACAGAUCAAGAGCAUCAAGUGUUCAUCUCAGAGUGACGGCAAAAGCCCUCCUCAACCUGGACAUAGACGGAGCCAGACAGCCUCUGUCUAUCAAUGUGACUAAGUUUGCGAUGGCAGAAAACAUGGUGGACCUUAUUGACGGUUACUGCCGCUCUGAGCACGCCACUGACGAGUCGUUCAUCGCUAGACCAAACAAAGAUGCCAAUUUACGAAGUUCCCUGCCAGACCUUCCCACGAAUCAAACGGAGAACACGGACUCCUUCAGAUAUAGCAUGGGAUCUGACAUCUACGCUGAGAUUGACGAACGACCAAAGUCUG